RNAcentral lists this ribosomal RNA (397 nucleotides) under uncultured bacterium. Its description in RNAcentral is "partial 16S ribosomal RNA". It matches the Rfam family "Bacterial small subunit ribosomal RNA", at positions 523 to 918 of the family's 1533-position model. The record is from RNAcentral.
AUACGAAGGGUGCAAGCGUUACUCGGAAUUACUGGGCGUAAAGCGUGCGUAGGUGGUUGUUUAAGUCUGUCGUGAAAGCCCUGGGCUCAACCUGGGAAUGGCGAUGGAAACUGGGCGACUAGAGUGUGGCAGAGGGUAGUGGAAUUCCUGGUGUAGCAGUGAAAUGCGUAGAGAUCAGGAGGAACAUCCGUGGCGAAGGCGACUGCCUGGGCCAACACUGACACUGAGGCACGAAAGCGUGGGGGGCAAACAGGAUUAGAUACCCUGGUAGUCCACGCCCUAAACGAUGCGAACUGGAUGUUGGGUGCAAUUUGGCACGCAGUAUCGAAGCUAACGCGUUAAGUUCGCCGCCUGGGGAGUACGGUCGCAAGACUGAAACUCAAAUGAAUUGACGGGG